GUCGUAUUGUCUGCAAAUUGUGAUAGUAUCACCUCAGGAUUCUUUAAGUCAAUACUGGCCAUUCCUACUUCACCUCUGGCAAGGCCUCUUCCUUCUACUACAGCUACAAUAACUGAUGCAGCAGUAUGAGCAGAGGCUGUAGAUGAUGAUGUAACAGUUGGUGAUCAGAAGUGUUGAAAUAGUUUUAGACCUUCUUUAAGCAAACAUACAGAGAUUAUCAAAGAC
RNAcentral lists this long non-coding RNA (225 nucleotides) under Gallus gallus (chicken). Lineage: Eukaryota; Metazoa; Chordata; Aves; Galliformes; Phasianidae. The record is from RNAcentral.